ACUCCCCUCGCUCUCUCAUCUGCAGGUGAAGAGCGUUGCUCAGCUCAGCACCAAAGAGCAAAGGCAUCGAAGCCAGCGUCACUCCAACCCCUCCUCUCGCCCGGCGCCGGAGAAUCCCACUUAAAGACACACAGUGGAGUGGUAGUUAAAUCAAGCUACCUGAUUCUCUGGCUUCCGCUAUUGCCCUAACAUUGGAUGAGAGUUUCCCCUAAUUACCGUUAAGGGGACACACGAGUGAUUUGUUCGCUAACCCUAACAAUUUUCUUAACCCUUUUCCUCAGUUUCCUAACCUGCUGCGUAAAUUCGAACCUGAAAGUCACUUCGGUAGCGAAUAGUUUUUCCGUCUGGAAAGGGUGAGACUUGUGGACUCUAGGACCUGACUCUAUCUCUUCUUCAGAUAUGAUGUAGUACAUGGGAUACUCUGUCAUUCAGCGUGGGACGCCAGAGAAUGCUGAUGCACUGGGCACCAGAGCCUGUGCCCCCUGGAACACCACGACAGGACGCCUACCAAGGGUCAGGAGAGGGGAAGGGAUCUCCUGUCUGACCCCCGACGACCACCCUCUCUGCCCAAAUGGUUUAUUCAUAUACCAGGCUACCAGUAUGAGAACAGACACAGGGCAGUGUACUAUGCACAGGGCUUAACUCCUAACAUGGCAGCCUGUGAGGUACUGGUACUGUAGAUAUGGUACAUUUACUGCAUAAUACCACAACCUACUCGAGGGUCAGAGCACAGCGGGCAAACUGUUUGAAAUGACAAACUCAAAGACAAAUCCUCACACACAUAGGUAGACCGACAGUACAGCAAAGUAUUUCUCAUAGUGUCGACACAUGCCCUCCAGAAAUCCAAACCCAGGAACAUAUGGCUGCAUCUCAUUCAACAGACGCUGCUCACCUCCAAUCCACCUUAGCACAUUACUUUAGGGGCUAACACAUACACAGACAUGCGCAUACAUAGAAUUGACAUGAACGCGCAUGCACACAAACACACACACAGAAUUAAUUAUUGAUUGAUAAACGGAUUGAUAGAUACCGUUGA
Long non-coding RNA from Oncorhynchus gorbuscha (pink salmon), 1036 nucleotides. RefSeq lists it as uncharacterized. The record is from RefSeq and is a predicted model, not a curated record. The transcript has 3 exons. NCBI's taxonomy places the organism in Eukaryota, Metazoa, Chordata, Actinopteri, Salmoniformes, Salmonidae.